This 253-nucleotide ribosomal RNA is filed under the name Salmonella enterica subsp. arizonae serovar 41:z4,z23:-. RNAcentral's name for it is "partial 23S ribosomal RNA". It matches the Rfam family "Bacterial large subunit ribosomal RNA", at positions 325 to 580 of the family's 2925-position model. The record is from RNAcentral. Lineage: Bacteria; Pseudomonadati; Pseudomonadota; Gammaproteobacteria; Enterobacterales; Enterobacteriaceae.
UGUGUUAGUGGAAGCGUCUGGAAAGGCGCGCGAUACAGGGUGACAGCCCCGUACACAAAAGCGCAUAUGCUGUGAGCUCGAUGAGUAGGGCGGGACACGUGGUAUCCUGUCUGAAUAUGGGGGGACCAUCCUCCAAGGCUAAAUACUCCUGACUGACCGAUAGUGAACCAGUACCGUGAGGGAAAGGCGAAAAGAACCCCGGCGAGGGGAGUGAAACAGAACCUGAAACCGUGUACGUACAAGCAGUGGGAGC